CCUUAGAGUUUGAUCAUGGCUCAGAGCGAACGCUGGCGGCAUGCUUAACACAUGCAAGUCGCACGGUUCGGGGGCAACUCCGGGCAGUGGCGGACGGGUGAGUAACGCGUAGGAAUCUAUCCUUGGAUGGGGGACAACCUUGGGAAACUAAGGCUAAUACCGCAUGAUGCCUGAGGGCCAAAGACGAAAGUCGUCUGGGGAGGAGCCUGCGUCUGAUUAGGUAGUUGGUGGGGUAAUGGCCUACCAAGCCUGCGAUCAGUAGCUGGUCUGAGAGGAUGAUCAGCCACAUUGGGACUGAGACACGGCCCAAACUCCUACGGGAGGCAGCAGUGGGGAAUAUUGGACAAUGGGCGCAAGCCUGAUCCAGCAAUGCCGCGUGGGUGAAGAAGGUCUUCGGAUUGUAAAGCCCUUUUGGCGGGGACGAUGAUGACGGUACCCGCAGAAUAAGCUCCGGCUAACUUCGUGCCAGCAGCCGCGGUAAUACGAAGGGGGCUAGCGUUGCUCGGAAUGACUGGGCGUAAAGGGCGCGUAGGCGGCUUACACAGUCAGGCGUGAAAUUCCUGGGCUCAACCUGGGGACUGCGUCUGAUACGUGUAGGCUUGAGUAGGGAAGAGGGUCGUGGAAUUUCCAGUGUAGAGGUGAAAUUCGUAGAUAUUGGAAAGAACACCGGUGGCGAAGGCGGCGACCUGGUCCUUUACUGACGCUGAGGCGCGAAAGCGUGGGGAGCAAACUAGGAUUAGAUACCCUGGUAGUC
Molecule: ribosomal RNA, 754 nt
Filed under: uncultured bacterium
Lineage: Bacteria
Description: bacterial SSU rRNA
Rfam family: Bacterial small subunit ribosomal RNA
Source: RNAcentral